RNAcentral lists this long non-coding RNA (401 nucleotides) under Elaeis guineensis (African oil palm). RNAcentral describes it as "long non-coding RNA (EGUI_LNC062376)". The record is from RNAcentral. Lineage: Eukaryota; Viridiplantae; Streptophyta; Magnoliopsida; Arecales; Arecaceae.
GUUUAGUGAUCAAACUACAAUUAGGAUCAAAUUGAUUAGAUCAGGCUAGAAUCUGUUGUUGAUUUUGAGUAGUUGAUUGAACCUAAUCAAUGGUUAAUUAGGAUUAGAUCAAAGGAGCUCAAAGUCAAGUUUAGUUGUAGUUGGUCACAUCGAUUCAUAUUUUAAUAUGAGUUGAUUGACUCAAGAUCAAAUUUGGCUCUAUAGUUCAGGCCCAUGUCAAUAGGUUAACCUGAUUGAUUGUAAUCAACCAAUUUAGUGUCUAAGAUAAGUAUUUAGAUGAUGGUUAUUUAAUUGGUUCUGUUGUCUGACUUGGUCAAUUUGAUUAGUGUCUAAUAAAAGCAACGGGGGAACCUCCACUCAUCUUAAAAUAUCUGGCCAUCUUGGGAGACUCAGUUUCAUGC